RNAcentral lists this ribosomal RNA (506 nucleotides) under uncultured bacterium. RNAcentral's name for it is "partial 16S ribosomal RNA". It matches the Rfam family "Bacterial small subunit ribosomal RNA", at positions 30 to 523 of the family's 1533-position model. The record is from RNAcentral.
AUUGAACGCUGGCGGCAGGCUUAACACAUGCAAGUCGAGCGGUAACGGAGAGAAGCUUGCUUCUCUGCUGACGAGCGGCGGACGGGUGAGUAAUGCCUAGGAAUCUGCCUAGUAGUGGGGGAUAACUUGCCGAAAGGUAAGCUAAUACCGCAUACGUCCUACGGGAGAAAGGAGGGGACCUUCGGGCCUUUCGCUAUUAGAUGAGCCUAGGUCGGAUUAGUUAGUUGGUGAGGUAAUGGCUCACCAAGACCGCGAUCCGUAACUGGUCUGAGAGGGUGAUCAGUCACACUGGAACUGAGACACGGUCCAGACUCCUACGGGAGGCAGCAGUGGGGAAUAUUGGACAAUGGGGGGAACCCUGAUCCAGCCAUGCCGCGUGUGUGAAGAAGGUCUUAGGAUUGUAAAGCACUUUAAGUUGGGAGGAAGAGCAGUUAACUAAUAUUUGACUGUUUUGACGUUACCGACAGAAUAAGCACCGGCUAACUUCGUGCCAGCAGCCGCCGUAA